CAUGCAUGUCUGAGUUCGCACCCCUCACGAACGGGUAAACCGCGAAUGGCUCAUUAAAUCAGUCCGGGUUCCUUAGGCGACACGGCCCUCACGGGCGAAUUGGAUAACUGUGGCAAAUCUAGAGCUAAUACAUGCGCACCGAGCCCCGACCCGCCUCACGGCGGGGAAGGGCGCUUUUAUUAGUACAAGACCGGCGUCCGUCGCGACUUGUCGCGCGGACCCUCGUCAGGCGAACUCUGGAUAACCGGCCCGACCGCUCCGUCCCUCGGGACGGCGGCGCGCCUUUCAAGCGUCUGCCCUAUCAAAUGUCGACGGUAGGUCAUACGCCAACCGUGUUGACGACGGGUAACGGGGAAUCGGGGUUCGGUUCCGGAGAGGGAGCACGAGAAACGGCUACCACAUCCAAGGAAGGCAGCAGGCGCGCAACUUACCCACUCCCAGCUCGGGGAGGUAGUGACGAGAAAUAACGAUGCGGGUCUCGAGUCGGGCCCCGCGGUCGGAAUGAGUGCAGUCCAAACCCCUGACAGCGACGACCCAUUGGAGGGCAAGCCUGGUGCCAGCAGCCGCGGUAAUUCCAGCUCCAAUAGCGUAUAUUAAAGCUGCUGCAGUUAAAAAGCUCGUAGUUGGAUCUCGAGGCGGGCGGCAUCGCCCGGCGGGGGCGCGGCUUCGGUCGUCGUCCCGGUCGGCGGUGCCGUACCGCCCCGUCGAGCGCCGGCUCUCUCCCGCGGCCGUUCUUCACUGAGCGGCCCGGGCGGCCGGCCUU
This 763-nucleotide ribosomal RNA is filed under the name Eubranchus odhneri. RNAcentral's name for it is "SSU rRNA". It matches the Rfam family "Eukaryotic small subunit ribosomal RNA", at positions 50 to 731 of the family's 1831-position model. The record is from RNAcentral. Lineage: Eukaryota; Metazoa; Mollusca; Gastropoda; Nudibranchia; Eubranchidae.